This 315-nucleotide unclassified non-coding RNA is filed under the name plant metagenome. RNAcentral describes it as "partial contains 5.8S ribosomal RNA, internal transcribed spacer 2, and large subunit ribosomal RNA". The stretch from base 1 to 105 matches the Rfam family "5.8S ribosomal RNA", at positions 50 to 154 of the family's 154-position model. The record is from RNAcentral.
AAAAUGCGAUAAGUAAUGUCAAUUGCAGAAUUCAGUGAAUCAUCGAAUCUUUGAACGCACAUUGCGCCCGCCAGUAUUCUGGCGGGCAUGCCUGUUCGAGCGUCAUUUCAACCCUCAAGCCCCCGGGUUUGGUGUUGGGGAUCGGGCUGCGGUUCUACCGCGUCCCGGCCCCGAAAUCUAGUGGCGGUCUCGCUGCAGCCUCCAUUGCGUAGUAGCUAACACCUCGCAACUGGAACGCGGCGCGGCCAAGCCGUUAAACCCCCAACUUCUGAAUGUUGACCUCGGAUCAGGUAGGAAUACCCGCUGAACUUAAGC